This 86-nucleotide small nuclear RNA is filed under the name Hucho hucho (huchen). RNAcentral describes it as "Flavo-1 RNA (ENSHHUG00000017453.1)". It matches the Rfam family "Flavo-1 RNA". Lineage: Eukaryota; Metazoa; Chordata; Actinopteri; Salmoniformes; Salmonidae. The record is from Rfam by way of RNAcentral.
AGUGAACUUCGUUUGCAGUGAAAAUCCUUUUUUGUCUCGUUUUUUCAACGGGACAAAAAAGAUUGCAACGGAUAGCUGGAUUAGCU